Molecule: ribosomal RNA, 301 nt
Filed under: uncultured bacterium
Lineage: Bacteria
Description: partial 16S ribosomal RNA
Rfam family: Bacterial small subunit ribosomal RNA
Source: RNAcentral
CAGCAGCCGCGGUAAUACGAGGGGGGCAAGCGUUGUUCGGAAUUAUUGGGCGUAAAGGGCGCGUAGGCGGUUUGGCAAGUUUCGUGUGAAAUCUUCGGGCUCAACUCGAAGUCUGCACGGAAAACUGCCGGGCUUGAGUAUGGGAGAGGUGAGUGGAAUUUCCGGUGUAGCGGUGAAAUGCGUAGAUAUCGGAAGGAACACCUGUGGCGAAAGCGGCUCACUGGACCAUUACUGACGCUGAGGCGCGAAAGCUAGGGGAGCAAACAGGAUUAGAUACCCCAGUAGUCCCUGUCUCUUAUAC